CUCCUUAAACAUAAAAAUCUAGA
This 23-nucleotide small nuclear RNA is filed under the name Arabidopsis thaliana (thale cress). Its description in RNAcentral is "snRNA_07447". The record is from RNAcentral. Lineage: Eukaryota; Viridiplantae; Streptophyta; Magnoliopsida; Brassicales; Brassicaceae.